UACAGAGGUCCCGAGCGUUGUUCGGAUUCACUGGGCGUAAAGGGUGCGUAGGCGGUUCUGAAAGUCUGAUGUGAAAUCUCCAGGCCCAACCUGGAAACUGCAUUAGAAACUACAGGGCUAGAGGCUUGGAGGGGGAACUGGAAUUCUCGGUGUAGCAGUGAAAUGCGUAGAGAUCGAGAGGAACACCAGUGGCGAAGGCGGCAUCCUGGACCGGCAUUGACGCUGAGUGAGCGAAAGCCAGGGGAGCAAACGGG
RNAcentral lists this ribosomal RNA (254 nucleotides) under uncultured bacterium. Its description in RNAcentral is "partial 16S ribosomal RNA". It matches the Rfam family "Bacterial small subunit ribosomal RNA", at positions 524 to 776 of the family's 1533-position model. The record is from RNAcentral.